This 442-nucleotide ribosomal RNA is filed under the name uncultured bacterium. RNAcentral's name for it is "partial 16S ribosomal RNA". It matches the Rfam family "Bacterial small subunit ribosomal RNA", at positions 338 to 795 of the family's 1533-position model. The record is from RNAcentral.
CCUACGGGAGGCAGCAGUGGGGAAUAUUGGGCAAUGGGCGCAAGCCUGACCCAGCAACGCCGCGUGAAGGAAGAAGGCUUUCGGGUUGUAAACUUCUUUUGUCCGGGAAGAGUAUAAGACGGUACCUGACGAAUAAGCCACGGCUAACUACGUGCCAGCAGCCGCGGUAAUACGUAGGUGGCAAGCGUUGUCCGGAUUUACUGGGUGUAAAGGGCGUGUAGCCGGGUUGACAAGUCCGAUGUGAAAUCCUGCGGCUUAACCGCAGAACUGCAUUUGAAACUGUGGAUCUUGAGUACUGGAGAGCCAGACGGAAUUCCUAGUGUAGCGGUGAAAUGCGUAGAUAUUAGGAGGAACACCAGUGGCGAAGGCGGUCUGCUGGACAGCAACUGACGGUGAGGCGCGAAAGCGUGGGGAGCAAACAGGAUUAGAUACCCGGGUAGUC